Molecule: ribosomal RNA, 377 nt
Filed under: uncultured bacterium
Lineage: Bacteria
Description: bacterial SSU rRNA
Rfam family: Bacterial small subunit ribosomal RNA
Source: RNAcentral
AUACGUAGGGGGCGAGCGUUGUCCGGAAUCAUUGGGCGUAAAGCGCGUGUAGGCGGCUUGCCAAGUCCGGUGUGAAAUCUCGGGGCUCAACCCCGAAACUGCACUGGAAACUGGCUUGCUAGAGUCCGGAAGAGGAGAUUGGAAUUCCUGGUGUAGCGGUGAAAUGCGCAGAUAUCAGGAAGAACACCCGUGGCGAAGGCGGAUCUCUGGGACGGUACUGACGCUGAGACGCGAAAGCGUGGGGAGCGAACAGGAUUAGAUACCCUGGUAGUCCACGCCGUAAACGAUGGGCACUAGGUGUGGGAGGUGUCGACUCCUUCCGUGCCGUAGCUAACGCAUUAAGUGCCCCGCCUGGGGAGUACGGCCGCAAGGCUAAA